RNAcentral lists this transfer RNA (53 nucleotides) under Sarcoptes scabiei. RNAcentral describes it as "tRNA-Cys". The record is from RNAcentral. Lineage: Eukaryota; Metazoa; Arthropoda; Arachnida; Sarcoptiformes; Sarcoptidae.
AUCUCUUAAGUUUUAUAAACUUUGAAUUGCAAAUUCAAAAUAUAAAAGAGAUU